Gopherus evgoodei (Goodes thornscrub tortoise) is the source of this 5660-nucleotide long non-coding RNA. RefSeq lists it as uncharacterized. The transcript is spliced from 2 exons. The record is from RefSeq and is a predicted model, not a curated record. NCBI's taxonomy places the organism in Eukaryota, Metazoa, Chordata, Testudines, Testudinidae.
CGCCCACAAAAGCUCAUGCUCCAAUACGUCUGUUAGUCUAUAAGGUACCACAGAACUCUCUGCUGCUUCUGCUUCCUUGUUUAAGGAGUUUGGGUGAAUUUUAAAGCAACAACCCACGGGGGUGGGGGCACAGCUCUACCUCCUUCCUUCUAAGCCUGGGCCCCCCUCCCACAGCUCUGCCGGUGCCUCCCAAACCCAACCGCAGCCACCUGCUAGCCCAGCCCUGGGCUCCCCCUUCACAUAGCUCUGCCGGUGCCCCCAAUUGCAAUCCACAGCCACCGGCUAGCCCAGCCCUGGGGUCCCUCCUCACACAGCUCUGCCAGUGCCUCUCAACCCGGGACUUUUCCAUUCCACCCUGAGUCCUUUCCUGCCCCUCUCUGGCUCCCCCCUGCUCCCCUCAGGCCCAUGUGGAGUACGGCAGAGUCAGGUGGGCCAAGACCGUCUCUGCCAGCCAGUCCCAGGGCAGCUGGGCACGGAUCAGCCUGCAGAUCUCAUGGCCUCUUGCUCAUUCACACCUCCACCAGCAGCUGCUGGCAGCUUCUCCUAGAGCCGGGGGUGCCAGCCCCCAGCGCCAGCCCUGCUCCAAGCGGGCCAGGCUGGAGAGCGCCCAUGUCCCCAGCUCCCGCCUCCGCUCUGGCAAGAACAGCCACAGCUCCGCAGCGCCUGCAUUGCCCGCGGCGUGAGGCCCGUGCCAUCUCCAUGGCAACAGGCUCCUGCACAAUCCUGCUGGCUGCGAGCUCAGCCUCCCACGGCCGCGAGGAUGGGGGAAGGGGCAUCGUGCUCUCCCCUGCUCCAUCCCACGGGCCUGGCAGGGCGGGGGCCAUGUGACGGGGGGCAUGGAGCCAGCAUCACUCCACCCCACAGCCCAGCUCAGUGUGGCCCUGGCUUUCAGGGGCCAGGCGCUCCCCAGGGCUGCUCGGCCCGCAGACACCGGAGGGAGAGCAGGGGCUGGGCUCGGCGCCCCCCAGGAGAGGUGCUCCCUCCCAGCCGGCCUGGGGGCUGCAGUGUCACAACCAUAGCAGGGACCACUGAGCUGUGGGGCCAAGCCGCCAGCAGAGAACACCGGCACGAGUGCCAGUGCCUAGGCUACCGGGCCGCAGCCCGAGCCCAGGGCAAGAGUCAAUGCCACCCCUGUCUUCCAGCCCUGCCCAUGCCCCAGGCCCUCUGCCACGGGGCUCUGUGAGCAGCUUCUUCCCUCUAAAAGCCCCCUGGAGCCACUGGCCAGGAAAGAAACCGACCCCAGGAUUAGCAGCCACUCAUUGCCCGUGGUUGUGCCCCCCGGGGCACCGGCCACACCCCAGCCACGACAGGGCAGAGAAGCCCCUGGUACUAGGGCGCAGUAUUUGGGCUCUCCCAGAGCACUCCCCUGAGGACGAGCCCCAUGCAGUGAGGUCUGCCACGUUCCUGGCUCCCAUACAGGCACACCAGCUGCCUCGUUACCACGCCAGGAAUGCACAUUAAACCCAAUAGCUAAGACUACGCCCACUGCCAGGCACACGUCAAGUGCUACUGCCAGGGCAGGGCAGGGCAGCUGGGGCGAGGUCCCCACCCUGUCAGCAAAGCACAAUCCCCCCAUGACAGCCCAGUCCCUUCUCCCCCACCGCACUGCUCGAUGCACAGUGGCCUAUAGGGAGAGACUCGGAGAAGGGGUGAUGGGUUGGGGAAGCAGGGAUCCCAUAGGCAGAACCAUACCCCCUCAGGCUCCACCACCAGUGUACGCAAUGUGCGGAUGGAGGAGAGGGCCAGGCACUUUAUACCCAGAGCCCAGGGCAUCAGAGCAGGCUAGGAGAGGGGAACCCAGCCUCAAGCUUCAGGGCGCUGGGAUCAUUGUGGGGUCAGGAAGGGUGCCCACAGGGACCAGGCUGUGGGGUGGAGCAGGGGUCAGUGCAGGGCACACACAGGAGCAAGGCCAGAAGAGGAGGCAUUUGCUGCGACGGUGCUAGCUGGGGUGGGAACAUGCCUCCAACUGGGGUGGCAGGGACUCACCCUCGCUCAUAGUGCCCACCCACCCUCUCCACCAGCCAGCAGGUUGGGAGCUGCCCUGAGGGGCCAGGCCCAACCUCCCCUCCCAGCGCAGAAAGCUCCAACUACAGCUGCCCCUGCUCCAAGAGGCUGGCACUCACCCCGGGGGGGCCCCAUCACAGCCCAUCGGCCUCACGCAGAACUGCCUGAGAGCAGCUCCCAGGGGCCAGACCUAGGCUGGAGAGCCCCAGCCCCAAGCUCCUGUGGAUUUAACCCUGGGCCCCCCAGCAUUCACCGGCUGGCCAACCGCAACAGCCCAGCUUCCCCCUCUCCCCAGUUCGGUGCCCUGCACACUAGGGUUCUGCACCAGCUCGAGGCUGGGGCGAGGGGGUCCUUGCCCACCCUUGCAGCCGGCUGGCUCUUGGGGCCCAAGAAGAGUGCGCAUGGGGCAGGGGGGCGGCAGGAUCACAUGCAUCCCCAGCCCAGGCGAGAGGCCCUGGAGAGCCAUGGCCCAGCGGGAAGAAUUUGUGCCAUCUCUGAGAGUGCCCCAAACACACACAUUGCAAAUCCCCAGCUCUAACCCCUGGGUUCACACUUUCCACCCCACACCCUUAUCUACUGUGCCUGGCCCCUGCACCCCUGCCUGCAGCCCAGAGAUAGGCCGGCUGCCCUGGGUUUGUGUGGCCCUCGCUGAGAGCGCAGGAGAGUCGGGAGGGCUGGCUCCCAGGGCACCCCGGGCUGCACAGCAGCACAGGCUGAGUCCAGCACUGCCGUAGCAUGGAGAGAGCGGCUUCAAAGCCAGCCACAUCCCUGUCACAUCGCCCUCCCCACAGCCUGGCGCCGGGCCACCUCCAGCAACGGGAAGGGGAUGAGAGGGCUUGGGAGCCCCUCCGCUGCAUGCGUCAGAGGACGAGAAGUCACAGGAACAGCAAAGGCACCGGGCCAGGCGCUGGCAAAGCCCUGGCAUGGGCGGUACAGUCAGGGCACCCAAAGCAAGCCUGGCAGCGUGGGACAAUGCUCCCCAGCACACCGGGGCCAAAGGAUCCCGCAGGAGGACAGGGCUGGGGAAAUGAGAUCCUGGCAGCGCCGCAAAGCCCGGGUCAUUCCAGAGCCCCCAGCAGCGCUGACAACGGCUCCUCUUUGCUGGCCCUCGUGCUGUGCUGGGGGGAGUUUCUGGCUGGUUCACAUCACCGAGGGAGAGCGACAGUGGCAACUGGUUGCACCAUGAGGUCAACACUUGCCCAUUGCCAAGCAAGCUGGGGCAUCCGUGCCACCAGCACAAGGUCACUCCCAUUGGAUCCACCCCACACCCACCGAAUGCAGGGACAGGCCAAGUGACCAGUCCUACAUGGGUCCUGCAUCCCUGCAUGGCCUCUGGGAUAGGGCAGCACAGCAAAGGCAGCCUGAGUGCCAGCGAGAAGGCUGUGCUGGGAGAUUUUGCCAGCUGGCUGCCCUGGGGAGCGGCAAGCCAUCGCCGAGGUCUAGCACCCCGAAAGGGGUGCGGCCCCUCCCUUUGCAGCCUGGUCCUGCCUGGUCCCCAGUCUGAAACACAAGGGGUCCUUGCUGCUCAGGCUUGCUGGGCAGAGCGGCCAGUUGGCAUCUUCCCUCUCCACUCCAGGGUGCUCCCAGGUGCGCUCCCUGCCUCUCCUGCUUGGGAGCUGGAGGGUCAGGCAGAUGGGCCCUGAGAGCCAGGGGGUGAUGUUCUCUAGUGCAAAGGCCAGUACCUGGAGGAGAAAGGCCCCACUGAGGAAUUUGGGACAAUGGGGACGCACAAGAACUCUCGUGUAGCUCUUUAUUGUGGCUAGGACCCACCGAUCUGAAGCCGUUUCCUGGAUCUGUGUCCUGGGAAUCUCUGCAGGCUCAGACAGGCCGGUGGGCCCAGGAUCCACUCCCAAGCGAAGGGGCGUCCGGGAGAGCAGAACUCGGAACCUGCCUGGGAGCCUACAGGCCCACGGGCAGCCCCACAGGGCUCAGCUACGGUGGGACCAGUCUUUUUGUGCUUGACUAAAGGGAACCACUUCUUUUUGGCUCCCCUGCAUCACCCAAGGCCUGGGCCAGGUGACCCCGCAGAGGUGCCCUCCCCAAAGGAGAGGCCCUCCCGACGGAGCUUCAAUCCCAUCACCUGACCACCCCCUCAGCUGGAGGAAGCAGCAAGUUCCCAUCACGCCUGCCACUGCCUGGGCCAGACCCGCAUCAGAGUCUCCAGCAAAACCACCUGCAGGUUGGGAGGAAGGAACUAGUGUCCAGCUGCACGGCUAGGCAGGCGGCCCGGCACACUCACCCCCUCACCCCACCGGAGAGACAAAAGACUGUUGGGGCCUGUUGCUGCUUUCUGUGCCCUGAGCCCAGAUGGAAACUAACUGCUAAUGGGGCCUCGUGUCUGGGCAGGGCCAUCACGGCUCUGCUGUGCCCGAGGGAGGCUGCAGAACCCAGCCGAGCCCCAAGGGAGAGAACUCACCACAAUGCUGCUGCAGAAGUCCCAGGUCCUGGCUUCCUUCCACAGGGCCCUUUGUACAGUUACCAGCUCGGGCACAUUCCCGCCUGUGCCCCCUGGUGCCAGGACGCCCCAGCUCCUGCCAUGCUGGAACGUGCUCAGUGCUGGCACGAGCCACAGAGAGACGCGGCCUGAGCCGCUCUGACAGUGCCGGAGUGUAGAGCCAUGCCAGCGGGCUCUGAAACACGCCUCACAAACCACAGCCUUGGCACUGGCUCCUGAGGCCCCCAGGACAGACACCCGAAGCAGAUCCCCAGUGACGUGCAGCAAGCCACACAUUGCCCUGGCCAGGGCUAAGGGAUCUUCACACCCCUGAGCCCAGGGCUAGCCAAGGCAAAGCAGCCAGCUGGGCGCUGGGCACCCAUCACAGCACCCCUCCCUGACCAGGCCUGGCUUCCCCUUCCCUCAGUCGGGAUCGCCAGUCAUGCCAAGCUCAGCCCGAGGGUCUAAUUCACCCUGCUUAGCUCACACCUGAGCCCCAAGCCAGAUGUGACGCCAGCAGAGAGGCCAGUGCUCCAGCUCCCUCUGCCCCUAGCAGCCCUCCUCCCCCAGGGCACUGCCCUGCAGCCACCUGCCUGCACACAGACCCAGAGAGGGCAGCAUGGCCCUGCUCUCCAGUUCACGCCAGGCCACAAAUCCGGGCAAACCCUUUUCGAAUCGCUGCACGGAGGCUUGGACACUUGGGAGCAACUUGGCACAUCCACAUACAUUACAAACGCUGGACGCCUCCUGCUUAUCCUGGGAGGGAGUAUUUCCACGUGGAACCAGGCACCUCUGGUGGAACCAGAGUAUUUCCACGUGGAACCUGCGGCCAAGGGGUCAGAGCAGGGCCCACAUCCAGAGCCAGGGAACCGAAGCCAGGCUCCAGCCAGGGGCUAGCAGGCGCAACUUCCAUUGGGCGGCCCCCAUGGACACUGGGUCUGAUCUAGUGCUGGGGCUGCCAGGGCUCGCUGCGGGCCUCAGCAAGGCACCAGGACUAACAUUUUCCACUGCAGCCUCUGACUGUAGUGCCCAGCCUGAGACACCAGGCCCUGGGCUUGCAGGGGUAUCCGGGGUGCUCAGCCAGUCGGGGGCACACAUGGUCUGGAACCACUUCUGACCCUGGGGGCCUUAACCGCUCUGGGCCAGUCUCCAGACAGACACUACAUUAUAAAAUGCAUUCGGGUCACUGGAUCGAGAGUGAAAAUAUUAACGUUCACCUCCA